GGGCAGGUACCCAAGCGGCCAACGGGGGCAGACUGUAAAUCUGCUGACGAAAGUCUUCGGAGGUUCGAAUCCUUCCCUGCCCA
RNAcentral lists this transfer RNA (83 nucleotides) under Caldifarciminota bacterium. RNAcentral describes it as "candidate division WOR-3 bacterium (sediment metagenome) tRNA-Tyr". It matches the Rfam family "tRNA". Rfam says of the family: Transfer RNA (tRNA) molecules are approximately 80 nucleotides in length. The record is from RNAcentral. Lineage: Bacteria; Pseudomonadati; Caldifarciminota.